UACGUAGGUGGCAAGCGUUGUCCGGAAUUAUUGGGCGUAAAGCGCGCGCAGGCGGCCUUUUAAGUCUGAUGUGAAAGCCCACGGCUCAACCGUGGAAGGUCAUUGGAAACUGAAAGGCUUGAGUACAGAAGAGGAAAGCGGAAUUCCACGUGUAGCGGUGAAAUGCGUAGAGAUGUGGAGGAACACCAGUGGCGAAGGCGGCUUUCUGGUCUGUAACUGACGCUGGAGGCGCGAAAGCGUGGGGAGCAAACAGG
RNAcentral lists this ribosomal RNA (254 nucleotides) under uncultured bacterium. RNAcentral describes it as "partial 16S ribosomal RNA". It matches the Rfam family "Bacterial small subunit ribosomal RNA", at positions 524 to 776 of the family's 1533-position model. The record is from RNAcentral.